GAUGAACGCUAGCUACAGGCUUAACACAUGCCAGUCGCGGGGCAGCAUGGGGGUUGCUUGCCAUCCCCGAUGGCGACCGGCGCACGGGUGAGUAACGCGUAUCCAACCUGCCCUUCACCACGGGAUAACCCGGCGAAAGUCGGACUAAUACCGUAUGUUGUCCAUUGACGGCAUCCGAUUUGGACGAAAGGCUUGGCGGUGAGGGAUGGGGAUGCGUCCGAUUAGCCAGACGGCGGGGUAACGGCCCACCGUGGCUACGAUCGGUAGGGGUUCUGAGAGGAAGGUCCCCCACACUGGAACUGAGACACGGUCCAGACUCCUACGGGAGGCAGCAGUGAGGAAUAUUGGUCAAUGGGCGUAAGCCUGAACCAGCCAAGUAGCGUGCAGGAUGACGGCCCUAUGGGUUGUAAACUGCUUUUAUGCGGGGAUAAAGUGGCCCACGUGUGGGCUUUUGCAGGUACCGCAUGAAUAAGGACCGGCUAAUUCCGUG
This 490-nucleotide ribosomal RNA is filed under the name uncultured bacterium. RNAcentral describes it as "partial 16S ribosomal RNA". It matches the Rfam family "Bacterial small subunit ribosomal RNA", at positions 28 to 507 of the family's 1533-position model. The record is from RNAcentral.